GUGAACGCUCGUGAUAUGCCUUACACAUGCGAGUUUUAAUUGAUAUAUACAUAUAUUAAUAGCGUACGGGUGAGUAAUACAUAAGAAUAUACUUUAUAUUAUAGAAAUUAAAAUCUAUUAAAAAAAACAGAAAAAAUAUAUAAAAUUUUUAUUAUUUUAUGUUUUUUAAAAAUUAAAAUUGAUAUAAAAUUAGCUUGUGUAGAAUUAGAUAGUUGGUAAGGUAAUGGCUUACCAAGUCUAUGAUUCUUAAUUGGUCUUAGCGGACGAUCAAUCACAUUGGGACUGAAACAUGGCCCAAACUCUUUUUUGAGGCAGCAGUGUGGAAUAUUGGACAAUGAACGAAAGUUUGAUCCAGCAAUAUCAUGUGAGUGAUGAAGGUUUAUUUUAUUGUAAAGCUCUUUCGUUGAGGAGGAUAAUGACGUUACUCAAAGAAGAAGUCCCGACUAACCUCGU
RNAcentral lists this ribosomal RNA (453 nucleotides) under uncultured bacterium. Its description in RNAcentral is "partial 16S ribosomal RNA". It matches the Rfam family "Bacterial small subunit ribosomal RNA", at positions 29 to 506 of the family's 1533-position model. The record is from RNAcentral.